CAAAAUGUAGCUUAAACAAAGCAUCCUACUUACAAUUGGAAGACGCCACAUACACUGGCCUUUUUGA
Molecule: transfer RNA, 67 nt
Filed under: Eremias brenchleyi
Lineage: Eukaryota; Metazoa; Chordata; Lepidosauria; Squamata; Lacertidae
Description: tRNA-Val
Rfam family: tRNA
About the family: Transfer RNA (tRNA) molecules are approximately 80 nucleotides in length. Their secondary structure includes four short double-helical elements and three loops (D, anti-codon, and T loops).
Source: RNAcentral